RNAcentral lists this ribosomal RNA (492 nucleotides) under uncultured bacterium. Its description in RNAcentral is "partial 16S ribosomal RNA". It matches the Rfam family "Bacterial small subunit ribosomal RNA", at positions 29 to 507 of the family's 1533-position model. The record is from RNAcentral.
AGUGAACGCUGGCGGCAGGCCUAACACAUGCAAGUCGAACGGCAGCACAGUAAGAGUUUGCUCUUACGGGUGGCGAGUGGCGGAUGGGUGAGGAAUACAUCGGAAUCUUCUAUUUCGUGGGGGAUAACGGGGGAACACAUCCGAUAAUACCGCAUACGUCCUACCGGAGGAAGCAGAAGAUCUUCGGACCUUGGGCGAGUGAAUGAGACGUUGUCGGAUUAGCUAGUCGGCGGGGUAAAGGCCCACCAAGGCGACGAUACGUAGCUGGUCUGAGAGGAUGGUCGGCCACACUGGAACUGAGACACGGUCCAGACUCCUACGGGAGGCAGCAGUGGGGAAUAUUGGGCAAUGGGCGCAAGCCUGAUCCAGCAAUGCCGCGUGGGUGAUGAAGGCCUUCGGGUUGUAAAGCCCUUUUGUUGGGAAAGAAAAGCAGCAGAUUAAUACGCCGCUAUUCUGACGGUACCCAAAGAAUAAGCACCGGCUAACUUCGUG